This is a long non-coding RNA of Planococcus citri (citrus mealybug), 1234 nucleotides long. RefSeq lists it as uncharacterized. The record is from RefSeq and is a predicted model, not a curated record. NCBI's taxonomy places the organism in Eukaryota, Metazoa, Arthropoda, Insecta, Hemiptera, Pseudococcidae. The transcript is spliced from 2 exons.
AAUCAUCCGCGAGAAUUUUCAAUUACGAUCGAUUGGGAAUAUACCUUACUUCAACUAAAAAAAAAGUAGGUAGGUACUUACGUUCAAGACCUCGUUUUCUCACAGUGUAGUACACCUAAAGCUAUGUUAUCUUGCUUGUGAGUUGUCAAGAGUACACCAGAUUAUAAUUUAUUUACCUAAGAUCUAUAGAGAUGAACUUACUGUGUAUCAUCUGUAAAAAUUUCCGACGAAAAAGGCACCUAAAGAGAUAAAAACCAUUCAAUAACGAAUUAUUUAAUUCAACAUGCGAAGAAACUCGGGGAGAUGAUCAACUAAAGUAGUACCUACCUUUUUGAAGAACUACUGUAAAUGAAAACGAUUAUCAGCAGAGGUUUUCCUUGCCUAGUUAAAGAGAUCUACAGUUAUAUUUGCUGAAGGGCGUAAAAGUUCGAUGACAUACACUACAUGUCUUCCCGAAAAUGUAAGAUGACCCGAAUGUCUUUCUACUUUUUUCCUCCAGCCUGUUCACCGAAAUGAUGCGCAACAAUUGUACAAAUUUUCGAGCAUGGUUUUCUACUGAAGAACACAGAAAAUGCAAGACUAUAGGAAGACAACUUUUUCAAGAACUACCUAAAGGCUUAUACCUUGUAACAAUCAGAAUUGGGAAAAGAAAUGGAUCGGUAUUUAUAUGUAAUGCAGACUACAAUAUUAGUAGUGAAACGGUAUACGAAAAAAAUGAAGCCAGCUGGUGGUUUUUCAUAUCUCGUGGAGGACAUUGGUCUUACGAAUACAGAAUAGAAAACGACACCUAAAGCAAAUCUUUGAGCAAUACAGAUGAACUGCCGGAGAGAAGGAACUCAAAAGUAAAACAGAAAACGAAAGUACAAGGAAAUUGAAAAAAAAAAAAAAUCAUAAUUAACUAUAGAAAAGGUACAGAAGACCCAAGUACACUUCCAGUAUUUAAAUAAUUGCGAGGUGAUAAAUUGCGUUUAAUAUUUAAUGUCAUUCUCUGAGUUCUUUUUUAUGCAUGAAUUUAAUCGGGUGGUCCUUGGAAGCGACGAACGUUUUUUGUGAAAAAAAUAAUCUAUAGUUUUUUCCAAUGUGUUAGGUACCUACACUGUAGAUACGUCCAUAGGAGAACAGUGAUUUCUCUUAUUAACGAUAUCGUGGAGGGAAAAAUAUGAGCAUUCUUUCGUUGAUAUUACAAAUAAUGAUAAGUGAACUGUGAAUCUGAUAAUAAAAUUUUGAUAAGAAA